UGGGCUUGGGUGCUGCUUUCUGCUUCACUGCCUCCUGUCUUCCCCUUCCACACCACGGACUGUUUCUUCUCUGUGAUGCCACCCUGCACUGGAGCCAGUCAACUAUGAACUGAAACCUCUACAAACUGUGAACCACAAUAGACCUUUACGCUUUUAAUUUGGAUGCUUUAUAAUUUGUCUCAGCAAUGAGGAAAGUGACUAAGACAUCCUGGAACACGUCAAUAAGACUCUCCAAAAACCUGGGAAAACCUGCCCCUGGUUCAUGUGGGUACCUGAGCGACUUAAAAUUGAAAGAUGCUGGUUGAACUCAGAGCAGCAGAACGGAAGCACUCUUUCCCUAAGCGUGUAGAGUUUCCUCUCCUUUAAUUGAGUGUGUGUAUGUGUAAAGAUUUCCACCAGACAGAUCUCAUCACCAAAGUCAGUCCAAAGCAGCUCUAAAAGUUGUGUGUUUCACCAAAAUUUCUCUACACACUGUGCUUUACCUCUCUCUCUCUCUCUCUCUCUCUCUCUCUCUCUCUCUCUCUCUCUCUUUCUCUUCCUGUCUCUCUCUUUGUAUCAGGAAUCGAACUCAGGACUUUGACUUUCCCAGGCAGUCUCUUGUGCUGUUGAGCUAGACCCCAAGUACUACAUCCUAUACUUUUGAAUUGUUCAACAUAAAUACAUUUUUUAAAAACCCCAGCAAGAAUAAUAGUUGUACAAGCAUUUAUUAUUUAAGAAUGAUUAAACUGUAAAAGUUUCCAUUGAAAAGAGAGAUUUUGAAGAAAAUAUUCUUAUCUCCUUGAUCCUUGAUAGACAUAAUUCAAAAAUCAAUGACAAAUUUUUUAAAAAUGUGCUUUUUAUAUAAAAUAGCAUAUAUCAAUAUAUCCAAUAGUGAGCGACAUGAUGAUUGUCAUAAAAAAUUUAAUAAAUGUUGACAAAUGUAUCACUAUGAGUUCAUUCCAUAUUAAGAUAAAAAUGUUUUUCUGAACACUUCUAAGAGAUAUAUUGAGGGUCUUUGAAUAUUGAGACUUCUGGUAUCAACACAGUCCCUGAUAACCAUUAAUUUAUUCUCAAUGUUAUGUUGUUUUACUGCUGACUCUAUAGGACAUAGAAAAAGGAGAAUUUUAAAAAGGAGAAGAAGCUAUAAUACAGGAAACGUAAUCUCUACAGUGAAUGACACUGGUAACAUUAUACCCAUAUGCAAAAAAAAAUGAAUAUAAACAUAGACCUUACAUCCUUCACUAAAACUCAAAGUGGGUAACCACACAUAAAGUGAAAAAAUAUGUUUUUUCUCAAAAAUAAAAUGUGAGAAAAUUUGA
This is a long non-coding RNA of Cavia porcellus (domestic guinea pig), 1298 nucleotides long. RefSeq lists it as uncharacterized. The record is from RefSeq and is a predicted model, not a curated record. The transcript is spliced from 3 exons. Lineage: Eukaryota; Metazoa; Chordata; Mammalia; Rodentia; Caviidae.